This 27-nucleotide non-coding RNA is filed under the name Rattus norvegicus (Norway rat). The record is from RNAcentral. Lineage: Eukaryota; Metazoa; Chordata; Mammalia; Rodentia; Muridae.
UAGACCUGAUGGUGAGGGGCUGUCUUA